UUCAUCUGUACGGCGAUGGGGGCCGCAAUUUCGGAUCCUCGUGUGUCCGAAGACGGCCCUUUGAAACACAGGUACUACUCAUGUUUGCCAGUUGAGUGGACUGGAGCAACGUGAAAUAAAGUGUCUUGCUCAAGGAUACAAUACGCCGCCUGGAAUUGAACUCACGACCUUACGAUCGUGAGCCGAAUGCCCUAACGACUAAGCCACGCGCCUUCACUUAUUCAUAUAUAAGUAUACCGACGUAUUCAUAUAUACGUAUACCUACGCAUACAUAUAGAUAUGAACAUAUAACACAUAUGGACGUCAGCAUUCCACGUCCAUCCUCUACAAGGUGGAACUUUAACAUACGGACCGUGAGCAGAAUUCAUGAAAAUUUGCAACCUUUAAAAAACUGCCUUACUGAAAUUCAUUCAACAUCAAAUGCAGAUCAAACCAUUGCAGAAGCAACAGGAAUUUUAAAAUACCUGAAUGAUGAUAGUUUUAUGUUUUGGUUAGAUUAUGCUUCAUGUUGAAAUAAUUGUUGAACUAAAUGUAAUCUCGAGAAAUUAGUGUGUUUGAAGUCAGUGAAUAUAUAACAGAUUUUAGAAAUAAGUAACUCGAUGUACUGUGAGAAUCCUUCAAAGGCACUCAUGGCAGAAGCAAAGGAAGUGUGUGACUGCAUAUGUGUUGAUAUAAUGGACAGAUAUUCAUCCACUAAACACUUAAUAGUUGUUAAAUUGUUCAACAAGAAAAGCUUCACUAGUUUUAAGAAUGGACUGCCUACAGAAGAGAUAGUACUGACCAGUAAAGCAUAUCCCAUGAUUGACAAAGAAAGGCUUGAAACGGAACUGAAAAUAUUCUCAUGUAGAUCCUAUAUACGCAUGAAUAUUGCAAAAUAAUUAAGCUGCUGGAAUUUAUCUUGGAAAAUAAUCUAGAUGGUGUUCUUAGUGAAAUUACGAAACAGAUAAAAUUGUCCUCUUGACAAUUCCCAUGACUACAUCAUAGGCAGGACUCUUCUUUUCAACACUGAAAAGAAUAAAAACUUUUCUAAGGAGCACUAUGAAUCCUGAAAGACUAAAUGCACUUGCAGUGCUUUCAAAGGAGAAACAUUUCCUCGACAGUCAUCCAUUGAUCAAGGAGAAAAUUAUUAACCUUUUCGCUAAAAGUAAAACAAGAAGAGUGGGUUUAAUUUUUAAAUGAAUGGAUCAACCUCGAACUGUAACAGCUUAUUAAUAAAUCAUGGAGAUUGCAAAAUUCUUCUGUUUGUUGGUGAUGCCUUGAACAGUUUGGUUAGGGAAAAGCGUCUCUCUUUGUACUGAAGAAAUUCCAGACAUAAAAAGGCCUGUUAUUUGGGAAAGCAAUAAUAAUGAAUAUAAUUGUGAUACAACCUGCGGUAAUGCCACCAACUUUGCAAUUACUCAUGCUGGUAACAUUUCUACUCUUUGGAUCAGGAAUGUAUCAUGGGAGUUUUCGACAUGGAUAUAUUUCGAUGCUAACUUUAACUUUGGUGUAAUUGAUUUACAGAUAAAUGUGAAACCAAAGAUUGAGAUCAUGAAUGAAACAGAUUGUAUAUACAAUGUAACAGCACAAUGUUCUUUACCUGUGACACAUAUAGACUGUUUUAUUGGAAAGGCACCUUUAACAUUUACUUCAAACAGAAUAUUAAAUUGUUCUGAUGGAAAAACGUUCACCAACAGUGCUGAACUAAUUCUCGAUCCACCAGUUACUGGAAAACUGAAAUGUAAUUUUACUAUGGACAGCUUAUUCAGUGAUAAACGAACCAUAAAAAUUAAA
Long non-coding RNA from Octopus bimaculoides (California two-spot octopus), 1773 nucleotides. NCBI's taxonomy places the organism in Eukaryota, Metazoa, Mollusca, Cephalopoda, Octopoda, Octopodidae. The record is from RefSeq and is a predicted model, not a curated record.